This 467-nucleotide ribosomal RNA is filed under the name uncultured bacterium. Its description in RNAcentral is "partial 16S ribosomal RNA". It matches the Rfam family "Bacterial small subunit ribosomal RNA", at positions 28 to 507 of the family's 1533-position model. The record is from RNAcentral.
GACGAACGCUGGCGGCGUGCUUAACACAUGCAAGUCGAACGGAAAGGCCCUGCUUUUGUGGGGUGCUCGAGUGGCGAUCGGGUGAGUAACACGUGAGUAACCUGCCCUUGACUUUGGGAUAACUUCAGGAAACUGGGGCUAAUACCGGAUAGGAGCUCCUGCUGCAUGGUGGGGGUUGGAAAGUUUCGGCGGUUGGGAUGGACUCGCGGCUUAUCAGCUUGUUGGUGGGGUAGUGGCUUACCAAGGCUUUGACGGGUAGCCGGCCUGGGAGGGUGACCGGCCACAUUGGGACUGAGAUACGGCCCAGACUCCUACGGGAGGCAGCAGUGGGGAAUAUUGCACAAUGGGCGGAAGCCUGAUGCAGCAACGCCGCGUGCGGGAUGACGGCCUUCGGGUUGUAAACCGCUUUCGCCUGUGACGAAGCGUGAGUGACGGUAAUGGGUAAAGAAGCACCGGCUAACUACGUG